GGGGGACUAACCCAAAAUAUUUGUUGUUAUUACACCAACCAUACGUUAUAUGUAUUGGAACAAUAUUAUUUAGGUGUAUAUUAUGCAUACAGAAUAAAAGAAAGAAAGUGAAAGUAACAAAAGUAGAAAAGGGAGGAAAGGUGACAGAAAAAGUCGUCAUUGAAAAAAAAAAUAAAAGGAAAUAAAAGAGAAUAUAAAACUUUUUGUUUAUAACAUUUUAUAACUAUCUUAAAGCAAAAGAGUGAUGCGUAGUUAAUAUAUGUCGGUAACAUUUUCCACUCUAUAAAUAUAUUACCGUAUAUCUAUCAUCGUAUAUAUAUGACAAUUUACAUAUUUUUAUAUAAAU
Molecule: long non-coding RNA, 346 nt
Filed under: Brassica napus (rape)
Lineage: Eukaryota; Viridiplantae; Streptophyta; Magnoliopsida; Brassicales; Brassicaceae
Description: long non-coding RNA (BNAP_LNC020652)
Source: RNAcentral